RNAcentral lists this long non-coding RNA (558 nucleotides) under Rattus norvegicus (Norway rat). RNAcentral's name for it is "long non-coding RNA NONRATT004078". The record is from RNAcentral. Lineage: Eukaryota; Metazoa; Chordata; Mammalia; Rodentia; Muridae.
GUGUUGGGGAGAGACUCUGUCUCAAACGUUAAGGUGGAAGGAGGACAGGCGGUUCAGCAGUGAAGAGCACUUUUCACUCUUCUAGAGGACCCAGUGUUGGGUAGCUCACAACAUCCUAUAACUCCAGCUUCAACAAACUCCACACCCUCUUAUGACCUUCACAGACACUCCACAUACUCACAUGCACACACCCACAUGCACACACUCACAUGUACACACUCACAUGCAUACACUUAUAUGCACACAUGCAAGAACUCACAUGCACACACAUGCAAGAACUCACAUGCAUGCACUCACAUGCACACAUGCAAGAACUCACAUGCACACACCCACAUGCACACACUCACAUGUACACACCCACAUGCACACACACAUGCAUACACUUAUAUGCACACAUGCAUGCACUCACAUGCACACAUGCAAGAACUCACAUGCACACACAUGCACAUACUCACAUGCACACAACUCACAUGCACACACUCACAUGCUCACAUUCACAUACAUAUAUCCAUUUGCAGACACAUGCACACAUACACAUAAAGAGCAAAAAAAAAAAAA